Molecule: ribosomal RNA, 1462 nt
Filed under: Staphylococcus epidermidis
Lineage: Bacteria; Bacillati; Bacillota; Bacilli; Caryophanales; Staphylococcaceae
Description: partial 23S ribosomal RNA
Rfam family: Bacterial large subunit ribosomal RNA
Source: RNAcentral
CUGGGUUAGUCGGGUCCUAAGCUGAGGCCGACAGGCGUAGGCGAUGGAUAACAGGUUGAUAUUCCUGUACCACCUAGUAUCGUUUUAAUCGAUGGGGGGACGCAGUAGGAUAGGCGAAGCGUGCUGUUGGAGUGCACGUCCAAGCAGUAAGGCUGAGUGUUAGGCAAAUCCGGCACUCAUAAGGCUGAGCUGUGAUGGGGAGAGGAAAUUGUUUCCUCGAGUCGUUGAUUUCACACUGCCGAGAAAAGCCUCUAGAUAGAUAACAGGUGCCCGUACCGCAAACCGACACAGGUAGUCAAGAUGAGAAUUCUAAGGUGAGCGAGCGAACUCUCGUUAAGGAACUCGGCAAAAUGACCCCGUAACUUCGGGAGAAGGGGUGCUCUUUAGGGUUCACGCCCAGAAGAGCCGCAGUGAAUAGGCCCAAGCGACUGUUUAUCAAAAACACAGGUCUCUGCUAAACCGUAAGGUGAUGUAUAGGGGCUGACGCCUGCCCGGUGCUGGAAGGUUAAGAGGAGUGGUUAGCUUCUGCGAAGCUACGAAUCGAAGCCCCAGUAAACGGCGGCCGUAACUAUAACGGUCCUAAGGUAGCGAAAUUCCUUGUCGGGUAAGUUCCGACCCGCACGAAAGGCGUAACGAUUUGGGCACUGUCUCAACGAGAGACUCGGUGAAAUCAUAGUACCUGUGAAGAUGCAGGUUACCCGCGACAGGACGGAAAGACCCCGUGGAGCUUUACUGUAGCCUGAUAUUGAAAUUCGGCACAGCUUGUACAGGAUAGGUAGGAGCCUUUGAAACGUGAGCGCUAGCUUACGUGGAGGCGUUGGUGGGAUACUACCCUAGCUGUGUUGGCUUUCUAACCCGCACCACUUAUCGUGGUGGGAGACAGUGUCAGGCGGGCAGUUUGACUGGGGCGGUCGCCUCCUAAAAGGUAACGGAGGCGCUCAAAGGUUCCCUCAGAAUGGUUGGAAAUCAUUCAUAGAGUGUAAAGGCAUAAGGGAGCUUGACUGCGAGACCUACAAGUCGAGCAGGGUCGAAAGACGGACUUAGUGAUCCGGUGGUUCCGCAUGGAAGGGCCAUCGCUCAACGGAUAAAAGCUACCCCGGGGAUAACAGGCUUAUCUCCCCCAAGAGUUCACAUCGACGGGGAGGUUUGGCACCUCGAUGUCGGCUCAUCGCAUCCUGGGGCUGUAGUCGGUCCCAAGGGUUGGGCUGUUCGCCCAUUAAAGCGGUACGCGAGCUGGGUUCAGAACGUCGUGAGACAGUUCGGUCCCUAUCCGUCGUGGGCGUAGGAAAUUUGAGAGGAGCUGUCCUUAGUACGAGAGGACCGGGAUGGACAUACCUCUGGUGUACCAGUUGUCGUGCCAACGGCAUAGCUGGGUAGCUAUGUAUGGACGGGAUAAGUGCUGAAAGCAUCUAAGCAUGAAGCCCCCCUCAAGAUGAGAUUUCCCAACUUCGGUUAUAAGAUC